This 253-nucleotide ribosomal RNA is filed under the name uncultured bacterium. RNAcentral's name for it is "partial 16S ribosomal RNA". It matches the Rfam family "Bacterial small subunit ribosomal RNA", at positions 524 to 776 of the family's 1533-position model. The record is from RNAcentral.
UACGGAGGGAGCUAGCGUUGUUCGGAAUUACUGGGCGUAAAGCGCACGUAGGCGGCUUUCUAAGUCAGGGGUGAAAUCCCGGGGCUCAACCCCGGAACUGCCCUUGAGACUGGAUGGCUAGAAUCCUGGAGAGGCGAGUGGAAUUCCGAGUGUAGAGGUGAAAUUCGUAGAUAUUCGGAAGAACACCAGUGGCGAAGGCGACUCGCUGGACAGGUAUUGACGCUGAGGUGCGAAAGCGUGGGGAGCAAACAGG